Molecule: ribosomal RNA, 694 nt
Filed under: uncultured bacterium
Lineage: Bacteria
Description: bacterial SSU rRNA
Rfam family: Bacterial small subunit ribosomal RNA
Source: RNAcentral
AACGCUAGCUACAGGCUUAACACAUGCAAGUCGAGGGGUAACGAGAGGGAAGCUUGCUUUUCUUGUUGACGACCGGCGCACGGGUGAGUAACGCGUAUCCAACCUGCCUAUAACUAGGGAAUAACCUUGCGAAAGUAAGACUAAUACCCUAUGAUUUCCUUUGAUGACAUCAGAUUAGGAAUAAAGAUUUAUCGGUUAUAGAUGGGGAUGCGUCUGAUUAGCUUGUUGGCGGGGUAACGGCCCACCAAGGCAACGAUCAGUAGGGGUUCUGAGAGGAAGGUCCUCCACAUUGGAACUGAGACACGGUCCAAACUCCUACGGGAGGCAGCAGUGAGGAAUAUUGGUCAAUGGGCGGAAGCCUGAACCAGCCAAGUAGCGUGCAGGAUGACGGCCCUAUGGGUUGUAAACUGCUUUUAUACAGGAAUAAAGUUAGCCACGUGUGGUUAUUUGUAGGUACUGUAUGAAUAAGGACCGGCUAAUUCCGUGCCAGCAGCCGCGGUAAUACGGAAGGUCCAGGCGUUAUCCGGAUUUAUUGGGUUUAAAGGGAGCGUAGGCCGUCUGUUAAGCGUGUUGUGAAAUGUAGAUGCUCAACAUCUGAAUUGCAGCGCGAACUGGCAGACUUGAGUGUGCGCAACGUAGGCGGAAUUCGUGGUGUAGCGGUGAAAUGCUUAGAUAUCACGAAGAACUCCGAUUG